This 910-nucleotide ribosomal RNA is filed under the name uncultured bacterium. RNAcentral describes it as "bacterial SSU rRNA". It matches the Rfam family "Bacterial small subunit ribosomal RNA", at positions 33 to 936 of the family's 1533-position model. The record is from RNAcentral.
ACGCUAGCUACAGGCUUAACACAUGCAAGUCGUGGGGCAUCAUGAUGUAGUAAUACAUUGAUGGCGACCGGCGCACGGGUGAGUAACGCGUAUCCAACCUACCCUCCACUCAAGUAUAGGCUUCCGAAAGGGAGAUUAAUCCUUGAUAUCGUCAUUCUCUCUCCUGUUAGAAUGAUAAAAGGACAUCGUUUCGGUAGAGGAUGGGGAUGCGUUCCAUUAGGUAGUAGGUGGUUUAACAGGCCACCUAGCCGAUGAUGGAUAGGGGUUCUGAGAGGAAUAUCCCCCACACUGGUACUGAGAUACGGACCAGACUCCUACGGGAGGCAGCAGUGAGGAAUAUUGGUCAAUGGGCGCAAGCCUGAACCAGCCAUGUAGCGUGAAGGAUGACGAUUUUUUUGAUUGUAAACUUCUUUUCUGUGCGAUUAAAGUGUGGCAUUUAUGCCAUAUUGCAGUUAUCUCAGGAAUAAGCAUCGGCUAACUCCGUGCCAGCAGCCGCGGUAAUACGGAGGAUGCGAGCGUUAUCCGGAUUUAUUGGGUUUAAAGGGAGCGUAGAUGGUUUUUUAAGUCAGCUGUCAAAUGUAUGGGCUCAACCCUUAUUAUCAGUUGAAACUGUAAGACUUGAGUGCGGUGUGGGUACAUGGAAUUCGUGGUGUAGCGGUGAAAUGCAUAGAUAUCACGAAGAACUCCGAAAGCGUAGGCAUUGUACCAUAGCGCCACUGACAUUGAUGCUCGAAGGUGCGGGAAUCAAACAGGAUUAGAUACCCUGGUAGUCCGCACAGUAAACGAUGAAUGCUCGGCGUUGUCGAUAUACUGUCAGCGUCCAAGCGAAAGCGUUAAGCAUUCCACCUGGGGAGUACGCCGGCAACGGUGAAACUCAAAGGAAUUGACGGGGGCCCGCACAAGCGGAGGA